AUAAACACCCAGUUAAUUGGCUGAAAGGUUUGUGGUAAGAAGCCUAAACAAAAUUUUGUUUUAGAACAUAAAUUUUGACCUCAAAUCAGGUAAGGAUACCCGCUGAACUUAAGCAUAUCAAUAAGCGGAGGAAAAGAAACCAACAGGGAUUGCCUUAGUAACGGCGAGUGAAGCGGCAAAAGCUCAAAUUUGAAAUCUAGUGCCUUUGGUACUCGAGUUGUAAUUUGAAGAAUUUUUCUCCGAACAGUCCUUUAUCUAUGUUCCUUGGAACAGGACGUCAUAGAGGGUGAGAAUCCCGUGUGAUUUUGGAUACUGUUCAUUGUGAGAUUUAUUCGAAGAGUCGAGUUGUUUGGGAAUGCAGCUCUAAGUGGGUGGUAAGUUCCAUCUAAAGCUAAAUAUUGGCGAGAGACCGAUAGCGAACAAGUACAGUGAUGGAAAGAUGAAAAGAACUCUGAAGAGAGGGUGAAAAAGUACGUGAAAUUGCUGAAAGGGAAGGGCUUUAGGUCAGACUUGGUGUUUAAUACUCAGUUCUCCUUGUGGGAGCUGCUCUUGUUUUUCACUGGGCCAAUAUCAGUUUUGGCGGUAGAGCACCUCUGGAAAUGUAGCUGCCUUCGGGUAGUGUUAUAGUCUGGGGACGAUCUACUGCUGGGACUGAGGUCUGCGCAUUUGCUAGGAUAUUGGCAUAAUGACCUUAAGCCGCCCGUCUUGAAACACGGA
This 717-nucleotide ribosomal RNA is filed under the name Saccharomycopsis schoenii. Its description in RNAcentral is "LSU rRNA". The stretch from base 76 to 717 matches the Rfam family "Eukaryotic large subunit ribosomal RNA", at positions 1 to 665 of the family's 3401-position model. Lineage: Eukaryota; Fungi; Ascomycota; Saccharomycetes; Ascoideales; Saccharomycopsidaceae. The record is from RNAcentral.